CCCUUAGAUGUUCUGGGCCGCACGCGCGCUACACUGACGAAGUCAGCGAGCAUGUCCUACGCCGACAGGUGCGGGGAAUCUUGUCAAACUUCGUCGUGAUGGGGAUUGAUUUUUGAAAUUCUUGAUCAUAAACGAGGAAUUCCUAGUAAGCGCAAGUCAGCAGCUUGCGUUGAUUACGUCCCUGCCCUUUGUACACACCGCCCGUCGCUACUACCGAUUGAAUGGUUUAGUGAGAUCUUCGGAUUGGCGCCACUGCAGCUCAGCAAUGGGCCUGGUGGAUGCCGAAAAGUUGAUCAAACUUGAUCAUUUAGAGGAAGUAAAAGUCGUAACA
Molecule: ribosomal RNA, 331 nt
Filed under: uncultured eukaryote
Lineage: Eukaryota
Description: partial 18S ribosomal RNA
Rfam family: Eukaryotic small subunit ribosomal RNA
Source: RNAcentral